This 388-nucleotide ribosomal RNA is filed under the name uncultured eukaryote. RNAcentral describes it as "partial 18S ribosomal RNA". It matches the Rfam family "Eukaryotic small subunit ribosomal RNA", at positions 592 to 976 of the family's 1831-position model. The record is from RNAcentral.
CAAAAGCGUAUUAUAAAGUUGCUGCAGUUAAAAAGCUCGUAGUUGGAUUUCUGACUUGAAAAGUCUGUUUCGCCUCCAACGAGGCUUGAUAACGGUACUUUUUGGUCAUCCUUCGUGGCGACCAAUCUGGGUUCUUUAUUGUAAUUCGGAUUGUGAGCCCGAUCUGUUACUUUGAAAAAAUUAGAGUGUUCAAAACAGGCUUACGCUUGAAUACAUUAGCAUGAAAUAACAAUAUAGGACUUUGGUCUUAUUUUGUUGGUUUUCGAGACUAAAGUAAUGAUUGAUAGAGAAGAUUGGGGGUGCUAGUAUUCAACGGCCAGAGGUGAAAUUCAGUGAUUCGUUGAAGACUAUCUAAUGCGAAAGCAUUCACCAAGGACUUCUUCUUUAA